RNAcentral lists this ribosomal RNA (497 nucleotides) under uncultured bacterium. RNAcentral describes it as "partial 16S ribosomal RNA". It matches the Rfam family "Bacterial small subunit ribosomal RNA", at positions 28 to 507 of the family's 1533-position model. The record is from RNAcentral.
GAUGAACGCUGGCGGCGUGCCUAAUACAUGCAAGUCGAGCGAACAGAUCAGGAGCUUGCGCCUCUGACGUUAGCGGCGGACGGGUGAGUAACACGUGGAUAACCUACCUAUAAGACUGGGAUAACUUCGGGAAACCGGAGCUAAUACCGGAUAAUAUAUUGAACCGCAUGGUUCAAUAGUGGAAGACGGUUUUGCUGUCACUUAUAGAUGGAUCCGGCCCGCAUUAGCUAGUUGGUAAGGUAAAGGGUUACCAAGGCAACGAUGGGAAGCCGACCUGAGAGGGUCAUCGCCUACACUGGAACUGAGACAGGUCCCAGACUCCGACGGGAGGAAGCAGUAGGGAAUCUUCCGCAAUGGGCGAGAGCCUGACGGAGCACCACCGCGUGAGUGAUGAAGGUCUUCUGAUCGUAAAGCUCUGUUAUUAGGGAAGAACAAAUGUGUAAGUACCUAUGCACGUCUUGACGGUACCGAAUCAGAAAGCCACGGCUAACUACGUG